Gavialis gangeticus (Gharial) is the source of this 169-nucleotide long non-coding RNA. RefSeq lists it as uncharacterized. The record is from RefSeq and is a predicted model, not a curated record. The transcript has 3 exons. NCBI's taxonomy places the organism in Eukaryota, Metazoa, Chordata, Crocodylia, Gavialidae.
ACAAGGUUCUUUAGGUGAAUCUGAUAUCUUUUAUUAGACCAGCUUAAAUAGUUGGAAAAAAAUUUUAAGCAAGCUUGUGGGUUCAAAAACCUUUCGUCAGGCUGCAGAAGUUUCAGCAGUUGGUGUGUGCUCUUCCUGGAUGGAAUGAAAAGUCAUUGGUCAUGGUUGG